This is a long non-coding RNA of Neltuma alba, 116 nucleotides long. RefSeq lists it as uncharacterized. Lineage: Eukaryota; Viridiplantae; Streptophyta; Magnoliopsida; Fabales; Fabaceae. The record is from RefSeq and is a predicted model, not a curated record. The transcript has 3 exons.
UUACCAGACAAAUCCAAAAAUGUGAGACUUUGAAGUGCUCAUAUCAGUGUUGGAAUGUUUCCAGUAAGAAUGUUAGAAGACAAGUCCAAAUAGAUGAGAUUAUGAAGAGCUCCUAU